GUUCGUACCGUAGGGCGUUCUGUUAAGUCAGACAACGAACGAGACCCUCAUCUUUAAUUGCAACUGGUAAGUCCGCUUAUCAGGCACACUAAAGAGACCGCUGGCGAUAAGUCAGAGGAAGGCGAGGGCAACGGUAGGUCAGUAUGCCCUGAAUCCUCCGGGCUACACGCGCGCUACAAAGGCUAGGACAAUGGGCUCCGACACCGAAAGGUGAAGGUAAUCCCGAAACCUAGUCAUAGUUCGGAUCGAGGGUUGAAACUCACCCUCGUGAAGGUGGAUUCCGUAGUAAUCGCGGGUCAACACCCCGCGGUGAAUAUGUCCCUGCUCCUUGCACACACCGCCCGUCAAGCCAUGCGAGUUGGGUCUGAGUGAGGAUGUAAUUUUUGUUACAUUCGAACUUAGGCUUAGCGAGCGGGGCUAAGUCGUAACAAGGUAUCCGUAGGGGAACCUGCGGAUGGAUCACCUCCU
RNAcentral lists this ribosomal RNA (468 nucleotides) under Thermoplasmatota archaeon. RNAcentral's name for it is "bacterial SSU rRNA". It matches the Rfam family "Archaeal small subunit ribosomal RNA", at positions 1007 to 1478 of the family's 1478-position model. The record is from RNAcentral. Lineage: Archaea; Methanobacteriati; Thermoplasmatota.